RNAcentral lists this ribosomal RNA (497 nucleotides) under uncultured bacterium. RNAcentral's name for it is "partial 16S ribosomal RNA". It matches the Rfam family "Bacterial small subunit ribosomal RNA", at positions 28 to 507 of the family's 1533-position model. The record is from RNAcentral.
GAUGAACGCUGGCGGCGUGCCUAAUACAUGCAAGUCGAGCGAACGGACGCGAAGCUUGCUUCUCUGAUGUUAGCGGCGGACGGGUGAGUAACACGUGGAUAACCUACCUAUAAGACUGGGAUAACUUCGGGACACCGGAGCUAACACCGGAUAAUCUUUUGAACCGCAUGGUUCAAAAGUGAAAGACGGUCUUUCUGUCACUUAUAGAUGGAUCCGCGCUGCAUUAGCUAGUUGGUAAGGUAACGGCUUACCAAGGCAACGAUGCAUAGCCGACCUGAGAGGGUGAUCGGCCACACUGGAAGUGAGACACGGUCCAGAGUCCUACGGGAGGCAGCAGUAGGGAAUCUUACGCAAUGGGCGAAAGCCUGACGGAGCAACGCCGCGUGAGUGAUGAAGGUCUUGGGAGCGUAAAACUCUGUUAUUAGGGAAGAACAUAUGUGUAAGUAACUGUGCACAGCUUGACGGUACCUAAUCAGAAAGCCACGGCUAACUACGUG